AAAGUGGUGGACAGAGUAAAUGCAUAUAUUAUAAGGGGAAAGUGUGUGUCAAUUAGAUUGACACACACAAUGUCAUUUUAAGUCAAACGCUGCGUUUUACCAUGAAAUUUCUCCACAGCUCUGUGUGCGUCCUCUCUAUUUUUCUCUAGUCCACAUCUAAGUUAUUCAUUCUCCUUUCUCACUGAAAUCACCUUUCCCCACCAUUCUCAUCUUCAUUCUAAUCUCUGUUUAUCUUCAAGUUCCUUCCCACCCGUUGUGUACGCCAAAUAUGUCCUCCAUUAUUCCUAUCCCCUUUCACAUGCUUUCCCUUAGUUUUUAUUCUUUCACGAGAUCGGUGUAGGUGAAUCAAUUUUGGUUCGAUCUUCCCAUCGGGCUUGCGUUCAAAUCCAUGGUCAUCAGUUUACGAUGGACCCAUCUUCAGUGCGCACCACUCCUCCUAUUGAACAAGAAGAAGACGAUGGGGGCCACACGAAUUCCCUCCUCUGAUUGCCCCACCUACAUCUGUUAGGAGGGAGUCAGAAUUUGCACCAGCACCAUCGCCCCACCUCCAUUACCCACUUUGAUUUCUGCACUUGUGUUAUUACUUGUCAAGUUGAUGAUCCCUGUGGCAUUGUUAUCUUGUCAAUUUUGUGGUGGGUUUAGUUUUGUCCUGUUACUUUGUUUGUCAGAGGUGCUCCUAUGUAUUGUACUCGAUCCGAUUUUUGAAUUUGGAAAACUCUGGGAUUUCGGGUUUCAUCAUGAUCUUAGCCUUUUUUUUUUUUAAUUUGGUGCUUUACCGUGCUAUUUUGGAGUAAUUCUAGAUAUAAUCUGUUAUCAAUCAAUUAUUAUAGAAGCUCUAAGAAGUUGAUAAUGGCAUCUUUGGUACACUUGUAAUCAUGUAUGUGUCUCAACGUUUUUUUUUCUUUUCUUCAAUUCCAUUAGUUUGCUUCAAUCAGUGCGCACCACACUUUGUACUGUAAAAAACAAAACCUCAAAACAUGCUCUAAUUUGGUACAGAUGACAUUGAAAUAGAUGAGCCCGAAAUGGGAGGCUUCUACCUCAUCUCUUGAUGUUAAAAACAAACAGAAAGAUAAAAAAAUACAUGAUAGGGAAAAGUUACUUCAAGGUGGGACUAAUGAUGAAAUAAAACCAAGACUUAGAACACCUGAAGAAAUUAUAGCUACUUACAGAAAAACUGGGGUAAUACUAAGCAGUCUAUCCUUUAUGUCUUUUCGUUCGCUAUUGAUUUCAAUGAGGCUAAGAAGGAAGAGAACAUCUAUUUGGGGCUACAUGGAGCGCCUCCUUCACAAUCAAAACAUCAAGAUCUAAAUUCAUCCAACCGGAAGCAGCGGUUCAAGCAAAAACUGAAAUAAGCUGAUAAGAGAAAUAAUGGGACAGGAAGGGAAAACAAAUUGGAUAACUUGAAGCACUGCAAAUAAAGGAAUAUUGUUGAAGAAAUACAAGGGGUGGGAAAUACUAUAUGAACAACAAUUGUAAAGGAAGUUGUAUAUAUUCUUAUAGAAUCGUGAUAUGUAUAAGUUAAUUAUAUCAAUGUUAGUUUUGUAUUUGGGAUUGAAUGAUCCUUCAACCAAGAUUGAUGAAUGUUGAAGUAUAUAGAUCAAUUUU
This is a long non-coding RNA of Gastrolobium bilobum, 1605 nucleotides long. RefSeq lists it as uncharacterized. The record is from RefSeq and is a predicted model, not a curated record. NCBI's taxonomy places the organism in Eukaryota, Viridiplantae, Streptophyta, Magnoliopsida, Fabales, Fabaceae. The transcript is spliced from 4 exons.